RNAcentral lists this ribosomal RNA (468 nucleotides) under uncultured bacterium. RNAcentral's name for it is "partial 16S ribosomal RNA". It matches the Rfam family "Bacterial small subunit ribosomal RNA", at positions 28 to 507 of the family's 1533-position model. The record is from RNAcentral.
GACGAACGCUGGCGGCGUGCUUAACACAUGCCAGUCGAACGGAAAGGCCCUGCUUUUGUGGGGUGCUCGAGUGGCGAACGGGUGAGUAACACGUGAGUAACCUGCCCUUGACUUUGGGAUAACUUCAGGAAACUGGGGCUAAUACCGGAUAGGAGCUCCUGCUGCAUGGUGGGGGUUGGAAAGUUUCGGCGGUUGGGGAUGGACGCGCGGCUUAUCAGCUUGUUGGUGGGGUAGUGGCUUACCAAGGCUUUGACGGGUAGCCGGCCUGGGAGGGUGACCGGCCACAUUGGGACUGAGGUACGGCCCAGACUCCUACGGGGGGCAGCAGUGGGGAAUCUUGCACAACGGGCGGAAGCCUGAUGCAGCAACGCCGCGUGCGGGAUGACGGCCUUCGGGGUGUAAACCGCUUUCGCCUGUGACGAAGCGUGAGUGACGGUAAUGGGUAAAGAAGCACCGGCUAACUACGUG